CCUCUGUUGUUAGUAUUAUAGAUUGUUAAUGUUAAAUUAGUUAAUGAGAACGAUCCGAAAUUGCUAACUAAAGAAUUUGUGUGUUGUGUCAUAGGGAAAGCUGCUGGAGUAAUCUAUCUAGUGUCCAUCCCCACUUGAUUCAUUUCGUGCCAGCUGAUUGAAAGCGGCGUGACGAAUUCAAAUUUAGCUGCUGCGUCUCCGUGCUGUCUGCAAGCAAGCAAUUCAAUUGACUGUCGCUAGAUGGCGCGAGUAUCUUCAGGGGACCAAAUUCGGCCAUUUUGUUUUGUUCCUUGACGCAGCCGAAGUGGGAUGCCGGUCGUGACGUUUCGCAUGUGCAAAGAUGAUUUCAAUGCCAAUUUUGUCAAAUCAUCUAACUUGGACUUGAGUGCCUGUUCACAUUGCUGAAAUGGUUCGCCUCGUGUGUCUUGCUGCCUGUACCCAGUCGUACGUCUCGUCCCAUGCAAAAGCAAAAGUCCGCUGUUGGUUUACUUGUUGCAGCCAGAUGGUGAAAGGUGUGAUGAUGACUAAUUGAACCCUUGUAUGCAGCGUGUUGUUGCAGUGUUAUUCAGAAGUAGCUGUUCAGUGUGGCAGUAUCGAGAAAUAGCAUGAAGCAGUGAAGUUGCCAGUGAUAUCUGGGUUGCUGACUUUGAAAUUUUUCUCUGUUCUCAUUUGUGUGUUUCUUUUUUUUUGCUCUACCACUGAAUUCCUGUGUUACUGUUUUGAAAUCGUUUCAUCUGUCGUCUUUGGCGUUUUUACUUGUCCACAUGUGCAGUAUACGAUUGAGGCAACCUGUCCUAUGACAAGUUUGACUCAGCCGACAACUGCUAUAUUAAAUUCCGGCUUUCUGCACCAACAAAAUAAUAACGGCACAUGUUAUUAUCGCGGUUGGGAAAGUCACAGGCCCCCCCUGGG
Long non-coding RNA from Daphnia pulicaria, 912 nucleotides. RefSeq lists it as uncharacterized. The transcript is spliced from 3 exons. Lineage: Eukaryota; Metazoa; Arthropoda; Branchiopoda; Diplostraca; Daphniidae. The record is from RefSeq and is a predicted model, not a curated record.